AGGAUAUUAAAUAUUUUUCCUUGGUUGAAAAAAAAAAGAAAUUAAUUUUUUAUUAUUUUUUAACUUCCAACGAUUUUUGUUUGCACAUGAACCCGCAAGGGUUCUUAUUGAUUUCGCAAUUAAAUUCAUCUUUUAAAUGUUCCGGGCUUUGGCGGGGUUUUGUUUCCCCCAUCCCAGUAGGCGGGUCGAACAAUCUACU
Molecule: ribosomal RNA, 199 nt
Filed under: Clavispora sp. YS60
Lineage: Eukaryota; Fungi; Ascomycota; Pichiomycetes; Serinales; Metschnikowiaceae
Description: partial 28S ribosomal RNA
Source: RNAcentral